UACGAAGGUGGCAAGCGUUAUCCGGAAUCAUUGGGUUUAAAGGGUCCGUAGGCGGGUGCGUAAGUCAGUGGUGAAAGCCUGCAGCUUAACUGUAGAACUGCCAUUGAUACUGCACACCUUGAGUAAUUAUGAAGUGGUUAGAAUAUGUAGUGUAGCGGUGAAAUGCAUAGAUAUUACAUAGAAUACCGAUUGCGAAGGCAGAUCACUAAUAAUUCACUGACGCUGAGGGACGAAAGGGUAGGUAGCGAACAGG
RNAcentral lists this unclassified non-coding RNA (253 nucleotides) under uncultured Flavobacteriaceae bacterium. RNAcentral describes it as "contains 16S-23S intergenic spacer region". It matches the Rfam family "Bacterial small subunit ribosomal RNA", at positions 524 to 776 of the family's 1533-position model. The record is from RNAcentral. Lineage: Bacteria; Pseudomonadati; Bacteroidota; Flavobacteriia; Flavobacteriales; Flavobacteriaceae.